This 566-nucleotide ribosomal RNA is filed under the name uncultured marine eukaryote. RNAcentral's name for it is "bacterial SSU rRNA". It matches the Rfam family "Eukaryotic small subunit ribosomal RNA", at positions 608 to 1186 of the family's 1831-position model. The record is from RNAcentral.
AGUUGUUGCAGUUAAAAAGCUCGUAGUUGAACUUCUAAGGAUUGAAGUCGCCUCAUGGCUUGUAUUGAUAUCCUUAUCCGCUUUGGUUUAGCAAUACGCACUUUGUUGGGCGAUUGUGUAACCAAGUAAUUUACUUUGAAGAAAUUAGAGUGUUUCAAGCAGGCGAUUUGCUGGAAUACAUUAGCAUGGAAUAAUAGAACACGACCUCUUAGGCAUUUUAUUGGUAUAUGGCUGGAGGUAAUGAUUAACAGGGACAGUUGGGGGCAUUAGUAUUGCAUUGUCAGAGGUGAAAUUCAUUGAUUCUCGGAAGACUAGCAGAUGCGAAAGCGUUCGCCACGGAUGUACUCUUUGAUCAAGAACGAAAGUUGGGGGAUCGAAGACGAUCAGAUACCGUCGUAGUCUCAACUAUAAACUAUACCAGCUAGGGAUCGGGCAACGCCGUAAUCCAGAAGGCUUGCUCGGCACCUUAUGAGAAAUCAAAGCAUUUGGGUUCCGGGGGGAGUAUGGUCGCAAGGCUGAAACUUAAAAGGAAUUGACGGAAGGGCACCACCAGGUGUGGAGCCUGU